RNAcentral lists this non-coding RNA (25 nucleotides) under Mus musculus (house mouse). Lineage: Eukaryota; Metazoa; Chordata; Mammalia; Rodentia; Muridae. The record is from RNAcentral.
GAGGAUUCUAGGAAACUUGGGCUCC